GGAUAAAAAGUAGCCUAUGGGUCUAAUUCUUACACAAUCUCUAAACUAAACUAUAAUGACAGGUCUAAAUGUAUUGCUAUCCCUUUCAUAACGCUCCCUGCGGAAAACGAUGGCACUAGAUUUAAGACUUGACAAUUUAGUUAAGAGAUUGUGUACAACAAAAUUCGCCACAUUAG
Long non-coding RNA from Maniola jurtina (meadow brown), 176 nucleotides. RefSeq lists it as uncharacterized. The transcript has 3 exons. Lineage: Eukaryota; Metazoa; Arthropoda; Insecta; Lepidoptera; Nymphalidae. The record is from RefSeq and is a predicted model, not a curated record.